RNAcentral lists this ribosomal RNA (474 nucleotides) under uncultured bacterium. Its description in RNAcentral is "SSU rRNA". It matches the Rfam family "Bacterial small subunit ribosomal RNA", at positions 26 to 518 of the family's 1533-position model. The record is from RNAcentral.
AGGACGAACGCUGGCGGCGUGCUUAACACAUGCAAGUCGAGCGAGGCCCGUCCUUCGGGACGGUGCCCUAGCGGCGAACGGGUGAGUAACACGUGGGCAACCUGCCCCUAGCACUGGGAUAACUCCGGGAAACCGGGGCUAAUACCGGAUAUGACCUUUGAGGGCAUCCUCUUUGGUGUAAAGGAUUCUGGCUAGGGAUGGGCCCGCGGCCUAUCAGCUUGUUGGUGGGGUAAUGGCCUACCAAGGCGACGACGGGUAGCCGGCCUGAGAGGGCGACCGGCCACACUGGGACUGAGACACGGCCCAGACUCCUACGGGAGGCAGCAGUGGGGAAUAUUGCACAAUGGGCGAAAGCCUGAUGCAGCGACGCCGCGUGAGGGAUGACGGCCUUCGGGUUGUAAACCUCUUUCAGCAGGGACGAAGCGAAAGUGACGGUACCUGCAGAGAAGCACGCAACUACGUGCCAGCAGCCGC